This is a non-coding RNA of Capsicum annuum, 107 nucleotides long. Lineage: Eukaryota; Viridiplantae; Streptophyta; Magnoliopsida; Solanales; Solanaceae. The record is from Rfam.
UAAUGAUGGUGAGAGAAAUUUCUUAGCAUACCCUUAAAUCUCUCCCAAUCUUGGUACAGAUUUUCUCCUUCUUUUUGUAUAAAACUUAGAAUCUUACUUCUUAAAUG